AAAGACAAAUCACAUAAUUUAUGCCAACUAAUUUGAUACUAUAUAACUCCUCCUCGUUUAUAUUUUAUAUUUACUGCAUGUUCACCAGCUCAUAUAAGUCAUAUCAAUAAAAAUAGACUACCCCUUCCAUAGACCACGUUAUGCCAUGAAGCUGUUUCUUAGAGUAGUUAGAGUUGUUUCUGCAGAAAAUUAAUUUGUGGACCCCACUUAAAUUUUUAAAAAC
Molecule: long non-coding RNA, 223 nt
Filed under: Brassica napus (rape)
Lineage: Eukaryota; Viridiplantae; Streptophyta; Magnoliopsida; Brassicales; Brassicaceae
Description: long non-coding RNA (BNAP_LNC012785)
Source: RNAcentral